AGUGAACGCUGGCGGUAGGCCUAACACAUGCAAGUCGAACGGCAGCACAGUAAGAGCUUGCUCUUACGGGUGGCGAGUGGCGGACGGGUGAGGAAUACAUCGGAAUCUACUUUUUCGUGGGGGAUAACGUAGGGAAACUUACGCUAAUACCGCAUACGACCUACGGGUGAAAGCAGGGGAUCUUCGGACCUUGCGCGAUUGAAUGAGCCGAUGUCGGAUUAGCUAGUUGGCGGGGUAAAGGCCCACCAAGGCGACGAUCCGUAGCUGGUCUGAGAGGAUGAUCAGCCACACUGGAACUGAGACACGGUCCAGACUCCUACGGGAGGCAGCAGUGGGGAAUAUUGGACAAUGGGCGCAAGCCUGAUCCAGCCAUGCCGCGUGGGUGAAGAAGGCCUUCGGGUUGUAAAGCCCUUUUGUUGGGAAAGAAAAGCAGCAGGUUAAUACCCCGCUGUUCUGACGGUACCCAAAGAAUAAACACCGGCUAACUUCGU
This 491-nucleotide ribosomal RNA is filed under the name uncultured bacterium. RNAcentral's name for it is "partial 16S ribosomal RNA". It matches the Rfam family "Bacterial small subunit ribosomal RNA", at positions 29 to 506 of the family's 1533-position model. The record is from RNAcentral.